AGUAACGCGUGGGCAACCUGCCUUAUACAGGGGGAUAACAGCUGGAAACAGCUGCUAAUACCGCAUAAGCGCACAGCGGCGCAUGACGCAGUGUGAAAAACUGAGGUGGUAUAAGAUGGGCCCGCGUCUGAUUAGCUGGUUGGGAGGGUAACGGCCUACCAAGGCGACGAUCAGUAGCCGGCCUGAGAGGGCGGACGGCCACAUUGGGACUGAGACACGGCCCAGACUCCUACGGGAGGCAGCAG
RNAcentral lists this ribosomal RNA (245 nucleotides) under uncultured bacterium. RNAcentral describes it as "partial 16S ribosomal RNA". It matches the Rfam family "Bacterial small subunit ribosomal RNA", at positions 109 to 354 of the family's 1533-position model. The record is from RNAcentral.